GAUGAACGCUGGCGGCGUGCCUAAUACAUGCAAGUCGAGCGAACAGACGAGGAGCUUGCUCCUCUGACGUUAGCGGCGGACGGGUGAGUAACACGUGGAUAACCUACCUAUAAGACUGGGAUAACUUCGGGAAACCGGAGCUAAUACCGGAUAAUAUAUUGAACCGCAUGGUUCAAUAGUGAAAGACGGUUUUGCUGUCACUUAUAGCUGGAUCCGCGCCGCAUUAGCUAGUUGGUAAGGUAACGGCUUACCAAGGCAACGAUGCGUAGCCGACCUGAGAGGGUGAUCGGCCACACUGGAACUGAGACACGGUCCAGACUCCUACGGGAGGCAGCAGUAGGGAAUCUUCCGCAAUGGGCGAAAGCCGGACGGAGCAACGCCGCGUGAGGGAUGAAGGUCUUCGGAUCGUAAAACUCUGUUAGUAGGGAAGAACAAAUGUGUAAGUAACUAUGCACGUCUUGACGGUACCUAAUCAGAAAGCCACGGCUAACUACGUG
RNAcentral lists this ribosomal RNA (497 nucleotides) under uncultured bacterium. RNAcentral's name for it is "partial 16S ribosomal RNA". It matches the Rfam family "Bacterial small subunit ribosomal RNA", at positions 28 to 507 of the family's 1533-position model. The record is from RNAcentral.